CUUGCUAAGUUUGAUGGCGACCGGCGCACGGGUGAGUAACACGUAUCCAACCUGCCGAUAACUCCGGAAUAGCCUUUCGAAAGAAAGAUUAAUACCAGAUGGCAUACGAAUAUCGCAUGAUAUUUUUAUUAAAGAAUUUCGGUUAUCGAUGGGGAUACGUUCCACUAGUUUGUUGGCGGGGUAACGGCCCACCAAGACUACGAUGGAUAGGGGUUCUGAGAGGAAGGUCCCCCACAUUGGAACUGAGACACGGUCCAAACUCCUACGGGAGGCAGCAUG
Molecule: ribosomal RNA, 279 nt
Filed under: uncultured bacterium
Lineage: Bacteria
Description: partial 16S ribosomal RNA
Rfam family: Bacterial small subunit ribosomal RNA
Source: RNAcentral